This 439-nucleotide ribosomal RNA is filed under the name uncultured bacterium. RNAcentral describes it as "partial 16S ribosomal RNA". It matches the Rfam family "Bacterial small subunit ribosomal RNA", at positions 339 to 795 of the family's 1533-position model. The record is from RNAcentral.
CUACGGGGCGCAGCAGUGGGGAAUAUUGCACAAUGGAGGAAACUCUGAUGCAGCAACGCCGCGUGGAGGAUGACACUUUUCGGAGCGUAAACUCCUUUUAUAUAGGAAGAAGAUGACGGUACUAUAUGAAUAAGCGCCGGCUAACUCCGUGCCAGCAGCCGCGGUAAUACGGAGGGCGCAAGCGUUACUCGGAAUCACUGGGCGUAAAGAGCGUGUAGGCGGAUUAAAAAGUCAGAAGUGAAAUCCUAUAGCUUAACUAUAGAACUGCUUCUGAAACUCUUAAUCUAGAAUAUGGGAGAGGUAGAUGGAAUUUCUGGUGUAGGGGUAAAAUCCGUAGAGAUCAGAAGGAAUACCGAUUGCGAAGGCGAUCUACUAGAACAUUAUUGACGCUGAGACGCGAAAGCGUGGGGAGCAAACAGGAUUAGAUACCCUUGUAGUC